RNAcentral lists this ribosomal RNA (468 nucleotides) under uncultured bacterium. RNAcentral describes it as "partial 16S ribosomal RNA". It matches the Rfam family "Bacterial small subunit ribosomal RNA", at positions 28 to 507 of the family's 1533-position model. The record is from RNAcentral.
GACGAACGCUGGCGGCGUGCUUAACACAUGCAAGUCGAACGGAAAGGCCCUGCUUUUGUGGGGUUCUCGAUUGGCGAACGGGUGAGUAACACGUGAGUAACCUGCCCUUGACUUUGGGAUAACUUCAGGAAACUGGGGCUAAUACCGGAUAGGAGCUCCUGCUGCAUGGUGGGGGUUGGAAAGUUUCGGCGGUUGGGGAUGGACUCGCGGCUUAUCAGCUUGUUGGUGGGGUAGGGGCUUACCAAGGCUUUGACGGGUGGCCGGCCUGAGAGGGUGACCGGCCACCUUGGGACUGAGAGACGGCCCAGUCUCCUACGGGAGGCAGCAGUGGGGAAUAUUGCGCAAUGGGCGGAAGUCUGAUGCAGCAACGCCGCGUGCGUGAUGACGGCUUACGGGUUGUGAACCGAUUUCGACUGAGACGAAGCGAGAGUGACGGUAAUGGGUAAGGAAGCACCGGCUAACUACGUG